AUGAAACGACGACAAAUCAUGCCCCUGGAAAGAUAUAAGCUUAUCUACUACUUUAUCACAAUGCCACGCCACUUUCAAGGUGGGAGGAACAGUCACAGCCAAUAUGUCUAUAGUCCAGUUCAUGUAUUGCAGUGCCGAUUGAUACUUUCUGUGGGCAUUCACAAGCAAAACUCAGGCAGUCUCACUUUCACAUGAGGAUUGUCCGAAUUAUAUUGUGUCAUCACCUUACAAAGCAAAAGUUAGCAUACCUUUUGCCAUUAUUUAUUCUCUCCACUGAUGUUAAAAUCAUAUGAUUGAUUAGAUUCAUAAUUAAUUUGUGAUUGAUUGUGCUAAACUUAGUUGGCCUUACCAAACUUUGUUGGCUGCUCCUGUGCAUUGUAACUGACUGGUAGAAAUACAAUUCUCUUCUUCCUUUCUUCUUUUUCAACAACUAACAUGUUUUGUUGUGCCCACAUUCAUUUUGAUAUAUAUAUGUGUGUGUGUGUGUACG
RNAcentral lists this long non-coding RNA (490 nucleotides) under Phoenix dactylifera (date palm). RNAcentral's name for it is "long non-coding RNA (PDAC_LNC003478)". The record is from RNAcentral. Lineage: Eukaryota; Viridiplantae; Streptophyta; Magnoliopsida; Arecales; Arecaceae.